CCUACGGGUGGCAGCAGUGAGGAAUAUUGGUCAAUGGGCGCGAGCCUGAACCAGCCAAGUAGCGUGAAGGAUGACUGCCCUACGGGUUGUAAACUUCUUUUAUAAAGGAAUAAAGUGAGGUACGUGUGCUCUGCUGAAUGUACUGUAUGAAUAAGGAUCGGCUAACUCCGUGCCAGCAGCCGCGGUAAUACGGAGGAUCCGAGCGUUAUCCGGAUUUAUUGGGUUUAAAGGGUGCGUAGAUGGGUUGUUAAGUUAGUGGUGAAAUUUUGGGGCUCAACUCUGGAAUUGCCAUUGAUACUGGCGGUCUUGAGAACAGAUGAGGUAGGCGGAAUGCAUGGUGUAGCGGUGAAAUGCUUAGAGAUCACGAAGAACUCCGAUUGCGAAGGCAGCUUACUAAUCUACCACUGACGUUGAGGCUCGAAAGUGUGGGUAUCAAACAGGAUUAGAUACCCUAGUAGUC
Molecule: ribosomal RNA, 460 nt
Filed under: uncultured bacterium
Lineage: Bacteria
Description: partial 16S ribosomal RNA
Rfam family: Bacterial small subunit ribosomal RNA
Source: RNAcentral